Molecule: transfer RNA, 73 nt
Filed under: Sphaerobolus stellatus SS14
Lineage: Eukaryota; Fungi; Basidiomycota; Agaricomycetes; Geastrales; Sphaerobolaceae
Description: tRNA-Ser (AGA) (tRNA-Ser-AGA-35-1)
Rfam family: tRNA
About the family: Transfer RNA (tRNA) molecules are approximately 80 nucleotides in length. Their secondary structure includes four short double-helical elements and three loops (D, anti-codon, and T loops).
Source: RNAcentral
GGGCUGGCGGCUUAGUGGUAAACUGUCCAGUCUAGAUUACAGAUGGUCCCAGGUUCAAUUCCUGGUCAGUCCA